This 281-nucleotide long non-coding RNA is filed under the name Gossypium barbadense (sea-island cotton). Its description in RNAcentral is "long non-coding RNA (GBAR_LNC006254)". The record is from RNAcentral. Lineage: Eukaryota; Viridiplantae; Streptophyta; Magnoliopsida; Malvales; Malvaceae.
GAACUCCUAAACUUGGGAUACGAAGGCAAAUGGUUUACAUGGGAGUGUGGUAGAUUGCCUUAAAAUAAUAUCCAGAAAAGGCUUGAUAGAAGGGUGGUACGAAUGGAGUGGUGGGACUUAUUUUUGAAUUCCAGACUGAAGCAUUGUGUACACUCAUUGUUUGAUAAUUGUUCCUUAUUACUUAAUACAAGUUGUCCGACUGAAAUACAGGAGCAUGGGCAACGAAACUUUAAAUUGGAGGUGACUUGGAUACUUAAUGAAUCAUGCGAAGAGGAGGUCAA